This is an RNA transcript of Tarenaya hassleriana, 1844 nucleotides long. It is a transcript of the gene named F-box/kelch-repeat protein At3g24760-like, with no coding region annotated. The transcript has 3 exons. Lineage: Eukaryota; Viridiplantae; Streptophyta; Magnoliopsida; Brassicales; Cleomaceae. The record is from RefSeq and is a predicted model, not a curated record.
CGUCGUCGCGGCUUCUACUCCGCACCAUCGUCCUUCUUCUACUUCCCUGAGAAAUCAAUAGAAAAAAAAAUUGAAGAACAAGGAGAGAGAUCAACAAUGUCGGAUCACAAUCCUCAAUCUUCGAGCUUCAAUGCCCUAAGCAUCGACCUCGCUGAAUCCAUCUUCUCUCUCCUCCCAAUCCCUUCCCUCGUCCGGUCCUCCGCUGUAUGCAAGCUCUGGCGCUCCAUCAUCACCUCCCUUCGUCUUCCUUCUCCAUCUCCAUCUCCAUCUCCCUGGCUCUUCCUCUUCGGCAUCCACAACACCUCCUCCUUCCACAACCAGUCCUUCGCCUUCGACCCUCUCUCCGACACCUGGCUCCGCCUUCCCUCCGCCACCGCCUCUUCCUUCCCUUCUCUCUACCUUGUCGGCUCCGACGGGUUUCUUUUCUCCACCGCUCCGAGAUUCUCCUUCUCCCCAAUCCUCAAACCUCGGUGGCGGUUCACUUCUCCGGUGCGGUUUCAUCGGAUUAGCCCUCUUUUGGGGGUUUUCUCCGGCGAGAACGGCUCGAUGAAGUUCAUCCUCGUCGGAGGCGUCGGAUUCAUCGGUGGAUUGGUUGAGGACAUCGAGGAUCGUGAAGUCGUCGAGGUCUACGAUCCUGUUCUCGAUUCGUGGGAGAUGUGUCCGCCACUUCCCGCCGAUUUCAGAUCAGGUUACGCUUAUCAAACUCUAUCCGCCGCUCUGUUCAAGAGAAGAUUCUACGUUUUCGGAAUCUAUUCAUGCUUUGUCACCUCCUUCUGCUUGGAUUCAUACACUUGGAGCGAUGUUCAAACACUCAGACCACCUGGGCUUCUCUUUGCUUCCCUGAAUUCCUGCAGCAACAUGCUUGUUCUUGGUGGAAUGUGUCUCUCCACUCGUGGGUAUUCGUUUAAUCUGUGGAAAAUCGACGAGAACUCGAUGGAAUUCAGCGAAAUCGCCAUCAUGCCUGAAGGGGUGUUGUCUGGAUUGGUGGAUAACGAGGAUGAGGACAGUACCAGGUUUGCGAGCUUGAAGUGCGUUGGAUUAGGGAAUCUGAUUUACGUUUUCAACGAGGAUAAUCACAAGAACUACCCAGCUUGUGUUUGCGAGAUCAAUGGAGAGAAAGGGAGUUGCAGAUGGAGGAAAAUGCCUCAGCUGCCAUCACCUGUUAACAAGUUCCAUAAAGUUGUGAGCUUUUGCUCGAACGUUUCGGCCAGCGAUGUCUUCCAGUUCCAGCCCGAGGGAACAGGGACACAGAUCGGUUCGAGGCAAGCUUGAGCUCGGUUCGGCUUCCCUUUCAUGUCACUGUGGAUCUACUGAGUAAAUGCAGACACUUUGUAUAGUCAUUCCCAUGUUGCAAUUCAAGUUUCUGGUACCCAAACUUGGCUACUUCAACUGUUAAAACGUUGUGCAAACCGUGUUUCCCGCUAUGAGUUCGAAUCAAAUUUGGGGAGGAAACUUAUAUUAUAAAUCACAUGACAGGAACAAUAGUAUUCAGACAUGAACAGAGAAGAGAAAGAAGAAUUUCGAGUCGGUGUGUACGGUACCACGUGGUAGGAGGGGUCAUUUCGGGUUUCGGUUUGGUUAUUUCGGUUAUAGAAAAACUAUGACUAUUCGGUUUUUAUAUCAACUUUGGUCUGGAUUCGUUUUUAUUGAUAUAAAACUCGUUUUUUUCAAAGAAAAUUUUGCUUUUUCGGAUAUUUUUUCAAAGAAAGUUAGUAACUUUGUGAAUCCCUUAUUUGCAAGUUUGUAACUUUUGGAAGUCUAUUUGUAGAUUCAGUUUGGUUUUACGCUCGAAUAAGAUGCGAUUCCUCAUAUACAUACGCUUUAUGUGUAUGUAUCCUUUUGUA